AGUCGACGAGGUGCUUUGCACCUAGUGGCGAACGGGUGAGUAACACGUAUCUAACCUACCUUUUAGUGGGGGAUAACAGUUGGAAACGACUGCUAAUACCGCAUACGACACCAUUAUGGCAUCAGAAGGUGUUAAAAGGCCCGUUUGGGUCGCUAGAAGAUGGGGAUGCGGCGUAUUAGCUAGUAGGUGGGGUAAUUGCCCACCUAGGCAAUGAUACGUAGCCGAACUGAGAGGUUGAUCGGCCACAUUGGGACUGAGAUACGGCCCAGACUCCUACGGGAGGCAGCAGUAGGGAAUUUUUCACAAUGGACGAAAGUCUGAUGAAGCAAUGCCGCGUGAGUGAUGACGGUCUUCGGAUUGUAAAGCUCUGUUGUAAGGGAAGAAUAGGUAAAAGAGGAAAUGCUUUUAUUUUGACGGUACCUUACCAGAAAGCCACGGCUAACUAUGUGCCAGCAGCCGCGGUAAUACAUAGGUGGCAAGCGUUAUCCGGAUUUAUUGGGCGUACAGGGUGCGUAGGCGGUUCGAUAACUUUGAGGUUAAAUCCCGGGGCUCAACCCCCGGUUCGCCUUGAAAACUGUCUUACUAGAAUACAGGAGAGGCAGAUGGAAUUCCAUGUGUAGCGGUGGAAUGCGUAGAUAUAUGUAGGAACACCAGUGGACGCAUGCGGUCUACUGGCCUGUUAUUGACGCUGAAGGCACGACAGCGUGGGGGAGCCAAUAGG
RNAcentral lists this ribosomal RNA (721 nucleotides) under uncultured bacterium. RNAcentral describes it as "bacterial SSU rRNA". It matches the Rfam family "Bacterial small subunit ribosomal RNA", at positions 60 to 776 of the family's 1533-position model. The record is from RNAcentral.